This 451-nucleotide ribosomal RNA is filed under the name uncultured bacterium. Its description in RNAcentral is "partial 16S ribosomal RNA". It matches the Rfam family "Bacterial small subunit ribosomal RNA", at positions 354 to 796 of the family's 1533-position model. The record is from RNAcentral.
GUGGGGAAUAUUGCGCAAUGGGGGAAACCCUGACGCAGCGACGCCGUGUGAGGGAAGAAGGCUUUCGGGUCGUAAACCUCUGUCAGAAAGGAAGAACCUCCCAUAUCCGAAUAGGGUGUGGGACUGACGGUACUUUCAAAGGAAGCACCGGCUAACUCCGUGCCAGCAGCCGCGGUAAUACGGAGGGUGCUAGCGUUAAUCGGAAUCACUGGGCGUAAAGCGCGCGUAGGCCGCUUCUUAAGUCGGACGUGAAAGCCCUCGGCUCAACCGGGGAACUGCGUUCGAUACUGGGAGGCUUGAGUCCUGGAGAGGGUGGCGGAAUUCCGGGUGUAGGAGUGAAAUCCGUAGAUAUCCGGAGGAACACCGGUGGCGAAGGCGGCCACCUGGACAGGUACUGACGCUGAGGCGCGAAAGCGUGGGGAGCAAACAGGAUUAGAAACCCGGGUAGUCC